This 395-nucleotide ribosomal RNA is filed under the name Paraclostridium bifermentans. RNAcentral describes it as "bacterial SSU rRNA". The record is from RNAcentral. Lineage: Bacteria; Bacillati; Bacillota; Clostridia; Peptostreptococcales; Peptostreptococcaceae.
UUUCCCGGAAGAAGAGCGGCGGACGGGUGAGUAACGCGUGGGUAACCUGCCCUGUACACACGGAUAACAUACCGAAAGGUAUACUAAUACGGGAUAACAUAUGAAAGUCGCAUGGCUUUUGUAUCAAAGCUCCGGCGGUACAGGAUGGACCCGCGUCUGAUUAGCUAGUUGGUAAGGUAAUGGCUUACCAAGGSAACGAUCAGUAGCCGACCUGAGAGGGUGAUCGGCCACACUGGAACUGAGACACGGUCCAGACUCCUACGGGAGGCAGCAGUGGGGAAUAUUGCACAAUGGGCGAAAGCCUGAUGCAGCAACGCCGCGUGAGCGAUGAAGGCCUUCGGGUCUUACAGCUCUGUCCUCUAUGAAGAUAAUGACGGUACUUGAGGAGGAAACCC